UACGAAGGGUGCAAACGUUGCUCGGAAUCAUUGGGCGUAAAGCGCACGUAGGCGGCCUGAUAAGUCGGAUGUGAAAUCCCUCGGCUCAACUGAGGACGUGCAUUCGAAACUGCCAGGCUCGAGUAUGGAAGAGGGUCGCGGAAUUCCCGGUGUAGAGGUGAAAUUCGUAGAUAUCGGGAGGAACACCAGUGGCGAAGGCGGCGACCUGGGCCAAUACUGACGCUGAGGAGCGAAAGCGUGGGGAGCGAACAGG
RNAcentral lists this ribosomal RNA (253 nucleotides) under uncultured bacterium. RNAcentral's name for it is "partial 16S ribosomal RNA". It matches the Rfam family "Bacterial small subunit ribosomal RNA", at positions 524 to 776 of the family's 1533-position model. The record is from RNAcentral.